This 301-nucleotide ribosomal RNA is filed under the name uncultured bacterium. Its description in RNAcentral is "partial 16S ribosomal RNA". It matches the Rfam family "Bacterial small subunit ribosomal RNA", at positions 509 to 807 of the family's 1533-position model. The record is from RNAcentral.
CAGUCGCCACGGUAACACAGAGGGUGCGAGCGUUAAUCGGAUUUACUGGGCGUAAAGCGUGCGUAGGCGGCUUUUUAAGUCGGAUGUGAAAUCCCUGAGCUUAACUUAGGAAUUGCAUUCGAUACUGGGAAGCUAGAGUAUGGGAGAGGAUGGUAGAAUUCCAGGUGUAGCGGUGAAAUGCGUAGAGAUCUGGAGGAAUACCGAUGGCGAAGGCAGCCAUCUGGCCUAACACUGACGCUGAGGUACGAAAGCAUGGGGAGCAAACAGGAUUAGAUACCCCAGUAGUCCCUGUCUCUUAUAC